Molecule: transfer RNA, 64 nt
Filed under: Pseudognaptodon sp. QL-2014
Lineage: Eukaryota; Metazoa; Arthropoda; Insecta; Hymenoptera; Braconidae
Description: tRNA-Val
Source: RNAcentral
UAAAUUUUAGUUUAAAAAAAAUUUAAUAUUUACAAUAUUAAGAUAUAAGAAUUUAUAAAUUUAA